This 90-nucleotide transfer RNA is filed under the name Rhodobacter sp. RNAcentral describes it as "tRNA-Ser". It matches the Rfam family "tRNA". Rfam says of the family: Transfer RNA (tRNA) molecules are approximately 80 nucleotides in length. Their secondary structure includes four short double-helical elements and three loops (D, anti-codon, and T loops). The record is from RNAcentral. Lineage: Bacteria; Pseudomonadati; Pseudomonadota; Alphaproteobacteria; Rhodobacterales.
GGAGAAGUGGCAGAGCGGUCGAAUGCGGCGGUCUUGAAAACCGUUGAGGGUUAACGCCUUCCGGGGGUUCGAAUCCCUCCUUCUCCGCCA